UGGAGGAGAAGCCCUUGGGCAGCGUAAAGCCCUACCUGGACAAGCUCAUGCUGUGCGUUACACACAUCUUGGAGACUUCUCCAGGAGUUGCUGAGGUGACGAUUGUGGAAAAGGAGCCAGCUGAACGCCACAGUAUCAUCUCAUGGGAGCAAAUAGCUUGUAACCAGAUGCACACUGGAUCUUGAACAGCCUUUGUUUUACAG
Molecule: non-coding RNA, 203 nt
Organism: Tinamus guttatus (white-throated tinamou)
Lineage: Eukaryota; Metazoa; Chordata; Aves; Tinamiformes; Tinamidae
Source: RefSeq, a predicted model, not a curated record